This 277-nucleotide ribosomal RNA is filed under the name uncultured bacterium. RNAcentral's name for it is "partial 16S ribosomal RNA". It matches the Rfam family "Bacterial small subunit ribosomal RNA", at positions 29 to 319 of the family's 1533-position model. The record is from RNAcentral.
AAUCAACGCUGGCGGCGCGCCUAACACAUGCAAGUCGAACGAGAAAGGGGAGCAAUCCCUGAGUACAGUGGCGCACGGGUGAGUAACACGUGGGUAAUCUACCCUUGGGUGGGGAAUAACCCUGGGAAACCGGGGCUAAUACCGCAUAAGCCCGAGAGGGGAAAGGAGCAAUCCGCCGAAGGAGGAGCCCGCGGCCGAUUAGCUAGUUGGUGAGGUAACGGCUCACCAAGGCUGAGAUCGGUAGCCGGCCUGAGAGGGCACACGGCCACACUGGCAC